UUCAGUGCUCAUUGCUGUUUCUUACAGUGACAAUUGGGAUAAGAGCCAUCAGUUCUAGCAUAUGCGGAUUAACUCGUUUGUGCAUGUGGAAAAGGAAGUCUACGUGGAUCUGCAACUGAGUGAAGGAUGGCCUGCAUGGUUUCCUCGGAACUAGUGGCGUGUUCCUGAGCCCGCCAAAAAGAUACAGGGUCAGUGUUGGUGGUUGUCACAUCACGGGGUCAAUGCUGUUUGUUAUUCUGCAGACUUCUGAGCACAAGGAAGAGCCGAUGACUGAUCCUUAUGACUGCCGGGCAGCAUUUACUUUCACACAUCCUACUCCAGAAGAUGAACACCUGUUCAUAUCAUGUGAUACGUCUAUGUAUCUGGGACUUCCAUUGGUUUAUUUUGAUGUUAUUGUGGGAGGGGUGUAGAACCCAUAUGCUAGGAUUUGGACGUGGUUCUGAAAUUCCUCUCUGGGAAGGAGAAGUGCCAGUGUUCUCCUCCUUAAAAUUAAGCCAAGGUGUCAUGAAUUGCCUGUCUCAGCAUGCAUUGCGGUUCCCAGCACGAGCACUGCGUUCACAUCAUCGCCAUGUGUUUUUUUUUUGGUGUUUUACCCAAUUGUGUCUUACUGUUUUGUGUUUCGCCCUUGAUUAGUUUGUCGAUUAAUACCCUGUUGUGUCAUGACACUGUUGCGGAGACUUAUUUUUGUGGAGUUUUGUAUAUUGUUAUUCUUCCUUGUUUUGACCCUCACCUGGUUUCCUAAGUGAUUGUCAAUGUUGUAUGCAUAUGUUUUGAGCCUUACCGUGGACACUGAUUCUGAUUCUUUGCCUGA
Ictalurus punctatus (channel catfish) is the source of this 811-nucleotide long non-coding RNA. RefSeq lists it as uncharacterized. Lineage: Eukaryota; Metazoa; Chordata; Actinopteri; Siluriformes; Ictaluridae. The transcript is spliced from 3 exons. The record is from RefSeq and is a predicted model, not a curated record.